CAGCAGCCGCGGUAAUACGUAGGUCCCGAGCGUUGUCCGGAUUUAUUGGGCGUAAAGCGAGCGCAGGCGGUUAGAUAAGUCUGAAGUGAAAGGCAGUGGCUCAACCAUUGUAGGCUUUGGAAACUGUUUAACUUGAGUGCAGAAGGGGAGAGUGGAAUUCCAUGUGUAGCGGUGAAAUGCGUAGAUAUAUGGAGGAACACCGGUGGCGAAAGCGGCUCUCUGGUCUGUAACUGACGCUGAGGCUCGAAAGCGUGGGGAGCGAACAGGAUUAGAUACCCUGGUAGUCCACGCCGUAAACGAUGAGUGCUAGGUGUUAGGUCCUUUCCGGGACUUAGUGCCGCAGCUAACGCAUUAAGCACUCCGCCUGGGGAGUACGACCGCAAGGUUGAAACUCAAAGGAAUUGACGGGGGCCCGCACAAGCGGUGGAGCAUGUGGUUUAAUUCGAAGCAACGCGAAGAACCUUACCAGGUCUUGACAUCCCUCUGACCACUCUAGAGAUAGAGUUUCCCUUCGGGGCAGAGGUGACAGGUGGUGCAUGGUUGUCGUCAGCUCGUGUCGUGAGAUGUUGGGUUAAGUCCCGCAACGAGCGCAACCCUUAUUGUUAGUUGCCAUCAUUCAGUUGGGCACUCUAGCGAGACUGCCGGUAAUAAACCGGAGGAAGGUGGGGAUGACGUCAAAUCAUCAUGCCCCUUAUGACCUGGGCUACACACGUGCUACAAUGGCUGGUACAACGAGUCGCAAGCCGGUGACGGCAAGCUAAUCUCUGAAAGCCAGUCUCAGUUCGGAUUGUAGGCUGCAACUCGCCUACAUGAAGUCGGAAUCGCUAGUAAUCGCGGAUCAGCACGCCGCGGUGAAUACGUUCCCGGGCCUUGUACACACCGCCCGUCACACCACGAGAGUUUGUAACACCCGAAGUCGGUGAGGUAACCGUAAGGAGCCAG
RNAcentral lists this ribosomal RNA (942 nucleotides) under Streptococcus constellatus. Its description in RNAcentral is "bacterial SSU rRNA". It matches the Rfam family "Bacterial small subunit ribosomal RNA", at positions 509 to 1452 of the family's 1533-position model. The record is from RNAcentral. Lineage: Bacteria; Bacillati; Bacillota; Bacilli; Lactobacillales; Streptococcaceae.